RNAcentral lists this ribosomal RNA (492 nucleotides) under uncultured bacterium. Its description in RNAcentral is "partial 16S ribosomal RNA". It matches the Rfam family "Bacterial small subunit ribosomal RNA", at positions 29 to 507 of the family's 1533-position model. The record is from RNAcentral.
AGUGAACGCUGGCGGUAGGCCUAACACAUGCAAGUCGAACGGCAGCACAGUAAGAGCUUGCUCUUACGGGUGGCGAGUGGCGGACGGGUGAGGAAUACAUCGGAAUCUACUUUUUCGUGGGGGAUAACGUAGGGAAACUUACGCUAAUACCGCAUACGACCUACGGGUUAAAGCAGGGGAUCUUCGGACCUUGCGCGAUUGAAUGAGCCGAUGUCGGAUUAGCUAGUUGGCGGGGUAAAGGCCCACCAAGGCGACGAUCCGUAGCUGGUCUGAGAGGAUGAUCAGCCACACUGGAACUGAGACACGGUCCAGACUCCUACGGGAGGCAGCAGUGGGGAAUAUUGGGCAAUGGGCGCAAGCCUGAUCCAGCCAUGCCGCGUGGGUGAAGAAGGCCUUCGGGUUGUAAAGCCCUUUUGUUGGGGAAGAAAAACAGCAGGUUAAUCCACCGCUGUUCUGACGGUACCCAAAGAAUAAGCACCGGCUAACUUCGUG